UUUGAUAUUGUAGAUUUCUCC
RNAcentral lists this non-coding RNA (21 nucleotides) under Caenorhabditis elegans. The record is from RNAcentral. Lineage: Eukaryota; Metazoa; Nematoda; Chromadorea; Rhabditida; Rhabditidae.